Myotis brandtii (Brandt's bat) is the source of this 106-nucleotide non-coding RNA. The record is from Rfam. NCBI's taxonomy places the organism in Eukaryota, Metazoa, Chordata, Mammalia, Chiroptera, Vespertilionidae.
GUGCUCACUUCAGCAGCACAUGUACUGAAAUUGGAAUGAUACAGAGAAGUUAGCAUUGCUCCUGUGCAGGGAUGACAAAAAAAAUGAAAAAAUAAAAAAAAUAAAA